RNAcentral lists this ribosomal RNA (464 nucleotides) under uncultured Klebsiella sp. RNAcentral's name for it is "bacterial SSU rRNA". It matches the Rfam family "Bacterial small subunit ribosomal RNA", at positions 339 to 795 of the family's 1533-position model. The record is from RNAcentral. Lineage: Bacteria; Pseudomonadati; Pseudomonadota; Gammaproteobacteria; Enterobacterales; Enterobacteriaceae.
CCUCGGGGGGCUGCAGUGGGGAAUAUUGCACAAUGGGUGCAAGCCUGAUGCAGCCAUGCCGCGUGUGUGAAGAAGGCCUUCGGGUUGUAAAGCACUUUCAGCGGGGAGGAAGGCGGUGAGGUUAAUAACCUCAUCGAUUGACGUUACCCGCAGAAGAAGCACCGGCUAACUCCGUGCCAGCAGCCGCGGUAAUACGGAGGGUGCAAGCGUUAAUCGGAAUUACUGGGCGUAAAGCGCACGCAGGCGGUCUGUCAAGUCGGAUGUGAAAUCCCCGGGCUCAACCUGGGAACUGCAUUCGAAACUGGCAGGCUAGAGUCUUGUAGAGGGGGGUAGAAUUCCAGGUGUAGCGGUGAAAUGCGUAGAGAUCUGGAGGAAUACCGGUGGCGAAGGCGGCCCCCUGGACAAAGACUGACGCUCAGGUGCGAAAGCGUGGGGAGCAAACAGGAUUAGAUACCCUUGUAGUC